Molecule: long non-coding RNA, 1865 nt
Organism: Cyprinus carpio (common carp)
Lineage: Eukaryota; Metazoa; Chordata; Actinopteri; Cypriniformes; Cyprinidae
Exons: 3
Source: RefSeq, a predicted model, not a curated record
GAUGUUUAAAAAGUUAUAUGUGUUCAAAUCACAUAAUGAAUAUGUUUAGUAUAAUAUGGACAUUCAGAGUUGCUUUCCAGACCAUUUAGAGUACCAGAACAAUGAUUUUCAAACUAAUCUGUGUCCACUGGUGAGGCCAUUAGUUUUAGUUUCAUUCUGGUCAGUUUUCCCAUCAUUACAUUUCUUACAUUCAUUACAUUAGUCUACUAAACUAAAUUGCAAAAUGCAGAACAUUUAAUGUACAGUAAGCAAAUAAAGUGUGUUUAUAAGCACAGAAUGUUGAUAAAUGUUGCUUUACAGAUUGACAAUAAAGAAACCUAAAAUAAUGUCAAUGUUAAUGUCAUAUUGUCUCAUAUUAUAAUCACAAGAUUAUUCAAAAAGUGCUUGGUGAAAUAAUAAUGCAGUAAUUUAUAUUCUCUCUGUCGUAAUACACUGUACUGUAUUUCUUGUGUAGUAAUACAAACUGCACGUUAUACAUUUAAUAAAUGUAUGGGUCAGUAAUACAUUUUAAUCCCAGCAGAAUUGAAGUCUGGAAGAAUAAUGAUAGACACAAUUAUUUUGAGCACAAUUCAUUUUAUAUGUUGCACUUUUGCGGUUAAUGUUGUUUUCUACUGACUUUCUUAAGAUCCAGGAAAUGAAUAUGCCAAAUCAUUUUUCAUAGUUUGUGUCCUGUUCUAGAGGUUCUUCCUCCAGCAGCUGUUGUUUGUGUUUCAGAUGGUUGCUGCUGAAGGUGAAGAGAAAGUCAGUGAAGGAGGGAGAAUCUGUCACUUUAGACACUCCUGCAGUAAAAAACCCCAAUAAUUUGCUGAUGUGGUCUUUCAAUGAAUCUCUCAUCGCUAAAAUCACUGGAGAUCCAAUGGAUAGCUGUAAAGAUGUUCAGUGUAAAGAGAGAUUCCGAGACAGACUGGAGGUGGAUCAAUUUGGAUCUCUGACCAUCACAAACACCAGAACCACAGACUCUGGACUUUAUCAACUACAGAUCACCAGGCAGCAGCAGCAGCUUCAGUAUCACCAGCAUUAAGAGCUUCACUGUUUACUGUCACUGAUUCAGGCCUGUCGUUAGCAGCCAUAGUAGUAAUAAUUAUUGUUUUUUUAAUUCUGCCUAUGGCUCCAGCUGCUGUUUACUGUUGCUACAGACGCUCCAGAAAUGGCAUGUAUCUCCCACAGAAAUUAUGAGAGAAAAUUGAAAAUGUUUAUUUUGCUAAAUUUAUAUUUAUUGUGUUUGUUAUUAUUUUUUUCAAAGCAGACAAGGAGAAAAACAUGCCAAUUGGUUCUGUAUAAAGUCAUAGGAAAAGAUGAAAAAAGACCAAGGCCACAUGAUCGAAGAGGAUCCCAAAAGGAUCAAAGUGAAGAUACUGCAGCUUUAUUCCCCGUGAAGUGACUUGUUAAAAUAUACAUUAUAUUGCCAAAAGUAUCAGGACAACCCCCCUUCUAAUGAAUAGAUUUGACUACUUGAGUAUUUCUUUCCACGAGAACACAUCUUAACGUUUGAGCAUAUAAUGAUAUUCUAUUGAAUUGUGUGUGCUUCUAAUUUUAUAGCAACAGUUUGGACAGGACCCUUUUCUAUUCUAACAUGACAAUGCCUCUGUGUUAGAAGGGGGUGUCCAAAUACUUUUGGCAAUAUAGUGUUUUGUCUACUUCUCUAAGUCCCUAACGGCCUGUGUUUUUGAGCUGCAACUUGAUUAAAUCUGUUGCAGGUCACAUUGAUUUAUCAUAGAAUACUUACAGUUACAGUUAUGGAGAUAUUAAAUCAUCCGUUACUGGAAGCAUAGAUAAUAUUAGUAAUGUGAUCAUCUGUAGUAUUCAAUUAUGUUUUACAGGUAUGAUAUUUUGAAGCUUACUGUAUAAAGGAAGAGUUUUUUUUU